UUGUUCACAAAUGCAAUACCUUCCCCUGGUCCUGUUGGACCCAGUGCCCAACAUCAAACUUGCCCAGAGACUCCAAGGUGUUGUCUAGUUUCCCAACAAAUAACACACACACAGAGAUUAACAUGUAUAAAAUAAUGUGAUGCAUCUUCUGAACACGGCAUGUCAUUCUAGCAGACAGGAAAGGAGUCAGGAAAGAGGGAGAGAUGGCCGACCCAGUGUCCACACAGAAAUGACAAGGUCCUUCACUAUAUUUGGUUUCUUUGUCAGACUGACUCGUCCCUUACAUUAAUCAAUUUAAAUUCUCAAACUAUAGCUAGUGAGAUGUACUUGUAUUGUGUAAUAUCAAAUUAAAAAAUUAUCAUCACAGGUCUUUUCCUGCCCUUUUUGGAGCCAGUGGAAAGCGCUGGCGUGUUCAAGGGCCUUCCAACCACUUCACACCAGUCAAAGAGAUAGAAGUUACAUUUUAUCUCUUACCCAAGAUUGUUGAGCACACUCCCAAAGGCAGUGAAGAAGUUUUCCAUCUGCAAGCUGGUUUGGGACGCAGGUCCACGCUGAUACCAGGGAACUACACCCAUGAUGAGGUAUGUUCAACUCUCAAAGAUCUUUGUCCAAAACUUGAAAGUGUGUCUGGGGGCUGGCUGAUUUACAAAGGAGCAGGUACCUAGAACUUACCCAUGGAAAAUCUAAUCUUGGUAUAAAAUCAUUUGAAUCAAUAUCUUGAGUGAUGAGCUUUCUGUAGAUAUAUUUAUCAUGUAUGU
Cyprinus carpio (common carp) is the source of this 758-nucleotide long non-coding RNA. The record is from Ensembl. NCBI's taxonomy places the organism in Eukaryota, Metazoa, Chordata, Actinopteri, Cypriniformes, Cyprinidae.